UACGUAGGGGGCAAGCGUUGUCCGGAAUCAUUGGGCGUAAAGCGCGUGUAGGCGGCUGGCUAAGUCCGCUCUGAAAACCCGGGGCUCAACCCCGGGCCUGCAGUCGAUACGGGCAGACUAGAGUGCGGUAGGGGAGACUGGAAUUCCUGGUGUAGCGGUGAAAUGCGCAGAUAUCAGGAGGAACACCGGUGGCGAAGGCGGGUCUCUGGGCCGUAACUGACGCUGAGGAGCGAAAGCGUGGGGAGCGAACAGG
This 253-nucleotide ribosomal RNA is filed under the name uncultured bacterium. RNAcentral's name for it is "partial 16S ribosomal RNA". It matches the Rfam family "Bacterial small subunit ribosomal RNA", at positions 524 to 776 of the family's 1533-position model. The record is from RNAcentral.